AUUGAACGCUGGCGGAAUGCUUUACACAUGCAAGUCGAACGGCAGCAUAGGUGCUUGCACCUGAUGGCGAGUGGCGAACGGGUGAGUAAUACAUCGGAACGUGCCCAGUCGUGGGGGAUAACGUAGCGAAAGUUACGCUAAUACCGCAUACGAUCUACGGAUGAAAGCGGGGGACCGUAAGGCCUCGCGCGAUUGGAGCGGCCGAUGUUAGAUUAGGUAGUUGGUGGGGUAAAGGCUCACCAAGCCGACGAUCUGUAGCUGGUCUGAGAGGACGACCAGCCACACUGGGACUGAGACACGGCCCAGACUCCUACGGGAGGCAGCAGUGGGGAAUUUUGGACAAUGGGCGCAAGCCUGAUCCAGCCAUUCCGCGUGCAGGACGAAGGCCUUCGGGUCGUAAACUGCUUUUGUACGGAACGAAAAGGCUCUGGUUAAUACCUGGGGCUCAUGACGGUACCGUAAGAAUAAGCACCGGCUAACUCCGUGAA
Molecule: ribosomal RNA, 488 nt
Filed under: uncultured bacterium
Lineage: Bacteria
Description: bacterial SSU rRNA
Rfam family: Bacterial small subunit ribosomal RNA
Source: RNAcentral